RNAcentral lists this transfer RNA (88 nucleotides) under Fidelibacterota bacterium. RNAcentral's name for it is "tRNA-Leu". It matches the Rfam family "tRNA". Rfam says of the family: Transfer RNA (tRNA) molecules are approximately 80 nucleotides in length. Lineage: Bacteria; Pseudomonadati; Fidelibacterota. The record is from RNAcentral.
GCCGAGGUGGUGAAACUGGUAGACACAUGGGACUUAAAAUCCCAUGAUCCUUAGGAUCGUGCGGGUUCGACCCCCGCCCUCGGUACAA